This is a non-coding RNA of Cinara cedri, 317 nucleotides long. The record is from the annotation of a GenBank genome assembly. NCBI's taxonomy places the organism in Eukaryota, Metazoa, Arthropoda, Insecta, Hemiptera, Aphididae.
AAAUUCUGUCUGGAGUUUCCCCAUUUAGUUUUGAUAGAAGAAUGUGUUGGUUUCAACAAAUGUUCACCUUUGGAGACAAAGCAAAGAUAUUUUUAAAGAAGAAAUUCCAUUGGAAAAUUCUACGGGUAAUUAUCUAAGUAACAAUAAUUGAUUAAAACUAAAUUAACAACUAAUUAAUACCCAUUCUCAGAAACUGUAUGUGAUGAUAUAGUGGAUCUGACCAAGUAAACUGUUGCAACUAUAGUUACUCUUAUACCAGCCGUGAAUAUAGAAUGUGCCAUUUUUACAGGUACCUAUUCAAUUAACUAACAAUAAUA